This 2164-nucleotide long non-coding RNA is filed under the name Sus scrofa (pig). RNAcentral's name for it is "lncRNA (ENSSSCG00180045090.1)". Lineage: Eukaryota; Metazoa; Chordata; Mammalia; Artiodactyla; Suidae. The record is from RNAcentral.
UUUUACAGAUCUUAGUUUGUAUCUGUUAAUCCCAAACUCCUGAUUUAGCCUUCCCCCACCACCUUUCGCCUUUGGUAACCAUUGUCUUCUAUGUCUGUGAGUCCAUUUCUGUUUUGUAAAUAAGUUCGUUUGCAUUGUAUUUUAGUUUCCACAAGUAAGUGAUACCAUAUGACGUUGCUGUCUCUCUCGGUCCAUCCGUAUUGCCGCAGAUGGCCUUAUUUUAUUCUUUUUUAUGGCAGAAUAAUAGUCCCUUGUCUGUAUGUACCAGCUCUUCCUUAUCCGUUCCCCUGUGGACGGACACUUGGGUGGCCUCCGUGUCUUGGCUGAUGUGACUAGUGCUGCGAUGAACGUGGGGUGCCUGGAUCUUUUCUAAUUAGAGUCUCUGGAUGUUUGCCCAGGAGUGGGAAUCGCUGAAUCCUGUGUAUCUAUUUUUUUCACGGCGCAAAGAUUUGGAAGUAAAUGUUUUUGGGAACAUUUUAAGUGUCAUGCAUGUUAUUUGCAGUAUUUAUUUUCGCUGGACUUAAACCCUCUGGACGUUUCCAUAUGAAGUAUCCAUUUUUUUUUUUUUUGCACUCAAUUUCUUAGUCCCGAGCCUUCAGGUAGCAAUAGUCUUACACAAAGGUUAUACUUUCACUCAUGUUAAAUCCUAUUAUAAUAACUGUCACUAUCUCUUUAUUACCCUUAAAGUGAAUCAUAAAGAAAGGGAGUUUGGCGUGUGUUUUUAAGUACAGCAGGUGUGUGAUUUUUUUUAGAACAUUGUCACGUCCUGUGUACCUAGCCGUGCAGGAGGUUGAACACUGAAAGGGCCCAGCCGCCUUCGCGGUGACAGUGGGGACAAGGAAAUGAACAAAUGUCGUGUUGAGAACUUGUACGAAGCUUCAGCUUCUUUAACCAAAAAAGAAGUUGUUUCGUGCAGGUAGAAACACAGAAAGAAACUGCCAAAUAAAAGAAUAACACAUAAAACAUUUUCUCUUUUUUGCUAAACAUUUUCUCUUUUUCUAAAGCUAUUCUAUUUUGUUAUAAUCCUCUGCAGCUCUGAUUUGACUCCUUGCCUGGGAACCUACAGGUGCUGCAGGCACGGCCCUAAAAAGACCAAAAAAAAAAAAAAAAAAAAAAUCAGUGUAUCAGUUCAUAAACCAUUAUAGUAACUCGUACGCUUAUUAGGAUAAACUGGUUCUUGCCACAGUGCAACAAAGCUUGGGUUUCAGAGGUAGCAAGACUCAGGUUCAAAUCCAGGCUCUGUCAGUUACUAGAUGUAUGAUCUUGGGCAACGUAGUCAACUUCUUUGUGCCUUGGUUUCCCUACUGGCAGAAUGGCAGUAAUAAUAUCUGUCCCACGGGCUUUUUUAGGGUGACGUUGGGUAGUCCACUAGGUCAAGUUCAGUCAUCUCCUAGGAUUAGGUCGGGAGCAUGUCAAGCGUCCCCAGGGCCCAGUAGGGGGCACGUGCUCAUAACGGCUGCAGCCGUUGCAGUGGCAGUGGUGGCAGGUGCUGGGGAUGUACAAGCGGGCAAAGCUGGCAUUCCUGUCCCGGUGUCACGUGCUGGCCCUGCCUCGCCACGGCGUCCCUGGGGUGAAGGUGCGCGCAGGAGGCGGCCUGGCUGCACGGGGUUGCUGCCCGUCGCAGGGCACGGCUCUCACCAGCCCGGCUGGGCACCGAUACACUUCUCGUUAUUUUUCAACGAUGAAAAUAGAGGCCGAUUACCAUGUUUUAUGUGAACUUAAACUGCUUAGUUUACACUGUACGAGUGGGUUGUCAGGCAACAGCAGAUUGAAAUCCACGUCCUUUGAACAAUGGCAAUCUCAGGUGCUUAUAGCGUGUGUUUUGUGACUUUUCCUUAUUAUUUAAAGCUCUCCGUUCUUUGAGAAGGUAGGAAGGUUCUCUCAUUUCAGACCUCAGAAUUAGCAUUGAAAACAUGGGAUUCUUUACCUGGAUGGAUGAAAGUAAUUUAUUGUUUGCUGGGUCAAACACAGCAUGCUAUUUGUCACACUGUGGUUUGUGUAUCUUUCUAGAAGCUUUCAACUUUGAUCUGAGUCAAAGUACACUCAGUAGCACAGAUGACAGAGUUUUAAAAAAAAGCCCCAGUGAUGUGCAUUGUCACUUACAGAAACUCUAAAUCAACAAGUAUAGAGACGCAGAGUGAAAAAUCCAAGUCCUUUCAAGAGG